This 493-nucleotide ribosomal RNA is filed under the name uncultured eukaryote. Its description in RNAcentral is "SSU rRNA". It matches the Rfam family "Eukaryotic small subunit ribosomal RNA", at positions 662 to 1158 of the family's 1831-position model. The record is from RNAcentral.
UGCCGAUGGGUAUCGCACUGUUUGCCGCGUCCUUCUUUCCGGAGACCGCGCCUACUCUUAACUGAGGGGGCGUGGGAGACGGAUCGUUUACUUUGAAAAAAUCAGAGUGUUUCAAGCAGGCAGCUCGCUCUUGCAUGGGACAGCGUGGGAUGAUUGAAUAGGACUCCGGUGCUAUUUUGUUGGUUUCGAACACCAGGAGUAAUGAUUAACAGGGACAGUCAGGGGCACUCGUAUUCCGUCGAGAGAGGUGAAAUUCUCAGACCAAUGGAAGACGAACCACUGCGAAAGCAUUUGCCAGGGAUGUUUUCACUGAUCAAGAACGAAAGGUAGGGGAUCGAAGACGAUCAGAUACCGUCGUAGUCUUAACCAUAAACCAUGCCGACUAGGGAUUGGAGGGUGUUCGUUUCGACCUCUUCAGCACCUUACGGGAAACUAAAGUCUUUGGGUUCCGGGGGGAGUAUGGUCGCAAGGCUGAAACUUAAAGGAAGUGACG